UCCUUUUCCUAUGGUGUGGGAAUCGAGGGAGGACUGGUUAAUUCAUGCUGAUAAGCAGUGUUCCCUGAAAUUCCAAGUAUUAUUAAUGGUAUCAGUAUGGUUGGGCAUGCUUUCUGGCUUUUCAUGAAGCCAGAAGUAAAAGUAAAGCUCAGAUAAAGAGACACUUGGCAUUCCUAUUCUGUAAUAUUUACUACAGUCUAAUGAUUGCCACUGCAUAUUCUUGCGAAGUAUUCACCAGCCCUGAGGGGUGGAACAACUCAGCAGGAUAUCUGCAUUACAACUGGACUAUUAUUCCUACUGAGAGAGGACCUGAGGGAAUAUUUUUACUUUUCAACAGCUCCUGCUGUGCCUCGAUGUGCACACUCCAUCUGGACUAACACCUUCAGCAGUUCUCCUCUCUGCCUGCCAGGCUGGCCUAGCGGUGUGACAAGCCUCCUAGUUUAUCACGGAGCCGUGGGGAAGUUGAGUCACGGAGAGAUGAUGUCCUGUAGGUCACCUGUUAAGCAGGGUGGAAGAGGUGAGAAGGAGAAGCUGGCUGGCUGAGCUCUGUCUGGGAGACCCGUGCUCUGAUUGCUACCUCUUACUGAAAACCUGAGGAAGAAUCCACAAUGAAGCCUGGAAAAGCUUGCUGGUGCUAGACAAGAGAGAAUGGGCAGGAUGUAUGUGAAGUAUCAUUCAGUGUCCAUACAGAGAGUGAUUUUGGGCCAGGAAGUGGAGAAGACCAGAGCAGGUAUAUAGCACAUUAUCCUUGAUGGGGGAGAGUUGACAAAGAAAACACUCGUCUUUCCAAAAAUGACUUCAUCCGCUGUAAUUGUUUAUAGGAGGACAGGUCUGGAACAAAACCUGAGUGCCACUUUGGAAGACCUAACACCUCCUCAGUAAUCAGCAGCUGAUGCAGCCUGAACAUCUCCUAUUACUGUUAAUUUGUCCUUAAAAACUCCUUCAGAAAGCAGACUAUGGCUGGAGCUUCUGUUCUCUUAAACAUGACCCAUUACGUCAGACCUCACUGACAUACGGCUCUAACGAGCCAAGCUGCAGAUGGUCUGAGGUGUUGCCAUCCAUACCUGUCCUGCCUUUUCCAGAGGCGACUUCCCUUCAACAGAAUUGGUGAAAGAGAUCAAUACCUAUACCUGUGUUAAGUCCAACAUGUUAACUUGCACUGCUGUGGAAGUUAGUUUAAAAUGGUUAUGAUUUGACCGAGGCUACAGGAAUGUUUC
Oxyura jamaicensis (ruddy duck) is the source of this 1217-nucleotide long non-coding RNA. RefSeq lists it as uncharacterized. The transcript is spliced from 4 exons. The record is from RefSeq and is a predicted model, not a curated record. Lineage: Eukaryota; Metazoa; Chordata; Aves; Anseriformes; Anatidae.